RNAcentral lists this ribosomal RNA (451 nucleotides) under uncultured bacterium. RNAcentral's name for it is "partial 16S ribosomal RNA". It matches the Rfam family "Bacterial small subunit ribosomal RNA", at positions 354 to 796 of the family's 1533-position model. The record is from RNAcentral.
GUGGGGAAUAUUGCGCAAUGGGGGAAACCCUGACGCAGCAACGCCGCGUGAGUGAGGAAGGACUUCGGUCUGUAAAGCUCUGUUAAUGUGGAAAAAUGGCAGUUGGUCUAAUAGGCCGAUUGUUUGAUGGUACACAUAGAGGAAGCACCGGCUAACUUCGUGCCAGCAGCCGCGGUAAUACGAAGGGUGCAAGCGUUGUUCGGAUUUAUUGGGCGUAAAGCGCGCGUAGGCGGACCUGCAAGUCAGAUGUGAAAGCUCGGGGCUCAACCUCGAAACUGCGUCUGAAACUACAGGUCUAGAAUCUCGGAGGGGGAAGGGGAAUAUCGCAUGUAGGGGUAAAAUCCGUAGAUAUGCGAUGGAACACCAGAGGCGAAGGCGCCUUCCUGGACGAGUAUUGACGCUGAGGCGCGAAAGCGUGGGGAUCAAACAGGAUUAGAUACCCCAGUAGUCC